This 464-nucleotide ribosomal RNA is filed under the name uncultured bacterium. Its description in RNAcentral is "partial 16S ribosomal RNA". It matches the Rfam family "Bacterial small subunit ribosomal RNA", at positions 338 to 795 of the family's 1533-position model. The record is from RNAcentral.
CCUACGGGGGGCAGCAGUGGGGAAUAUUGCGCAAUGGGCGAAAGCCUGACGCAGCGACGCCGCGUGAGGGAUGAAGGUCUUCGGAUCGUAAACCUCUGUCAGCAGGGAAGAACAGUCACUGUGGUAAUCAGCAGUGAAUUGACGGUACCUGCAAAGAAAGCACCGGCUAACUCCGUGCCAGCAGCCGCGGUAAUACGGAGGGUGCGAGCGUUAGCCGAAAUUAUUGGGCGAAAAGCGCACGUAGGCGGUUUGUCAAUUCAGGGGGAAAAUCCCGGGGCUAAACCCGGAAUCGCCUUUGAAACUGGCAAACUGGAGUGUGAGAGAGGUAAGCGGAAUUCCAGGUGUAGGAGUGAAAUCCGUAGAUAUCUGGAGGAACAUCAGUGGCGAAGGCGACUAACUGGGACAUAACUGACGCUGAGGAGCGAAAGCGUGGGUAGCAAACAGGAUUAGAUACCCUAGUAGUC